GAAUAUUGGACAAUGGGGGGAACCCUGAUCCAGCCAUGCCGCGUGUGUGAAGAAGGCCUUUUGGUUGUAAAGCACUUUAAGCGAGGAGGACGAGCUCUUGGUUAAUACCCACGAUGCCUGGACGUUACUCGCCGAAUAAGCCCCGGCUAACUACGAGCCAGCGGCCGCGGUAAUACGUAGGGUGCAAGCGUUAAUCGGAAUUACUGGGCGUAAAGCGUGCGCAGGCGGUUUGGCAAGAAGGAUGUGAAAUCCCAGGGCUUAACCUUGGAACUGCAUUCUUAACUGCCAGGCUAGAGUAUGUCAGAGGGGGGUAGAAUUCCACGUGUAGCAGUGAAAUGCGUAGAGAUCUGGAGGAAUACCGAUGGCGAAGGCAGCCAUCUGGCCUAAUACUGACACUGAGGUGCGAAAGCAUGGGGAGCAAACA
This 424-nucleotide ribosomal RNA is filed under the name uncultured bacterium. Its description in RNAcentral is "partial 16S ribosomal RNA". It matches the Rfam family "Bacterial small subunit ribosomal RNA", at positions 359 to 774 of the family's 1533-position model. The record is from RNAcentral.